AUCAACUUUCGAUGGUAGGAUAGAGGCCUACCAUGGUGGUAACGGGUAACGGGGUGUUAGGGCACGACACCGGAGAGGGAGCCUGAGAAACGGCUACCACAUCCAAGGAUGGCAGCAGGCGCGCAAAUUACCCAAUCCCGACACGGGGAGGUAGUGACAAUAGAUAACAAUACGGGGUUCUUUCGGAUUUCGUAAUUGGAAUGAGUACAAUUUAAAUCUCUUAACGAGGAACAAUUGGAGGGCAAGUCUGGUGCCAGCAGCCGCGGUAAUUCCAGCUCCAAUAGCGUAUAUUAAAGUUGCUGCAGUUAAAAAGCUCGUAGUUGAAUUUCGGGACCAAUAUGUCGGUCGUGCCUCGGUACGUACUGGCAUCGUUGGUUUCUCCCUUCUGACGAACCAUGAUGUCAUUUAUUUGGUGUCGUGGGGAAUCACGACUGUUACUUUGAAAAAAUUAGAGUGUUUAAAGCAGGCUCACGCUUGAAUACAUUAGCAUGGAAUAAUGAAAUAGGACGUUUGAUUCUAUUUUGUUGGUUUCUAGGAUUGACGUAAUGAUUAAUAGGGAUAGUUGGGGGCAUUAGUAUUCAAUUGUCAGAGGUGAAAUUCUUGGAUUUAUUGAAGACUAACUACUGCGAAAGCAUUUGCCAAGGAUGUUUUCAUUAAUCAAGAACGAAAGUUAGGGGAUCGAAGACGAUCAGAUACCGUCGUAGUCUUAACCAUAAACUAUGCCGACUAGGGAUCGGAUGAUGUUAAUUUUUUAAUGACUCAUUCGGCGCCUUACGGGAAACCAAAGUGUUUGGGUUC
RNAcentral lists this ribosomal RNA (798 nucleotides) under uncultured Glomus. RNAcentral's name for it is "SSU rRNA". It matches the Rfam family "Eukaryotic small subunit ribosomal RNA", at positions 314 to 1114 of the family's 1831-position model. Lineage: Eukaryota; Fungi; Glomeromycota; Glomeromycetes; Glomerales; Glomeraceae. The record is from RNAcentral.